GACAGAGGAGCCAAGCGUUGUCCGGACUGACUGGGCGUAAAGCGCCCGCAGGCGGCCGUGCACGUGGGGUGUGAAAGCUCGCGGCUUAACUGCGAGAGGCCAUCCCAUACGGCGCGGCUCGAGCCGUCCAGAGGCCGGUGGAAUUGCCGGUGUAGUGGUGAAAUGCGUAGAUAUCGGGAGGAACACCAGUGGCGAAGGCGACUACCUGGCCUGUUCUUGACGCUGAGGCGCGAAAGCUAGGGGAGCAAACGGG
This 253-nucleotide ribosomal RNA is filed under the name uncultured bacterium. RNAcentral describes it as "partial 16S ribosomal RNA". It matches the Rfam family "Bacterial small subunit ribosomal RNA", at positions 524 to 776 of the family's 1533-position model. The record is from RNAcentral.